UAAAAGGGCUUCUGUGAGUGAUACAGGGAGGGCAACUCCCUUGCUCUAUGCGCAGAAUCGACACCAGGAGAUUUCAGAAGCUUAAUUUUUUGGCAAUAGGGCAGCUGGUGCCUGGUACUCCUGGUGCCUCU
Sorex araneus (European shrew) is the source of this 131-nucleotide small nuclear RNA. RefSeq annotates it as U11 spliceosomal RNA. The record is from RefSeq and is a predicted model, not a curated record. The transcript has a single exon. Lineage: Eukaryota; Metazoa; Chordata; Mammalia; Eulipotyphla; Soricidae.